Molecule: long non-coding RNA, 1575 nt
Filed under: Gossypium barbadense (sea-island cotton)
Lineage: Eukaryota; Viridiplantae; Streptophyta; Magnoliopsida; Malvales; Malvaceae
Description: long non-coding RNA (GBAR_LNC008716)
Source: RNAcentral
CGUUUUUGACUAAGUAAAGGAAUCAACUAAAGUUUAGGUGAAUAUUCCAUGAUUAUCCAGAGAGAAAUAAGUUGUUUUCCUUUGACCUUUUAAACAUGGCUUUUUAUGUCAAUGAAAUAAACAAUUAAGAUAAGUACGAGAUUGGAGAAUUUUUCUACACUUAUCUACUUGCUUUUAAUCCUAAUGGAACCAUUCUUUUUCUCGUUCAUAAUAUUGGAUUUAAUUUCACUAAUCAUCAUUAAAUCAUUGUGUAUAUCUAAAUCGGUUCAUAAAUUUUAAAAUAUAUUAGUUUAAUUAAAAUUUUAAAGUAUCGAUUGUACGAGCCCAUUUUGCCCGGGCCCAGUGCAAAACAAAAACAAAAUAAAAAUAAAACAUAAACCAAAUACAUUGCAGCCCAAAUUUCAUAUGGCCCAAACUACCCAAAAUUAACCCUAAACCCAAAACAAACAUAACCCUAGCCCAAGAUUAACCCCAUUUUCAGCAAACCCUAGUUUGCUUCCCCAAGCUAGCCGUCGCAAGCUUCCAUGCGUGGCCCCCUCGUCCACCACGCCCCACGCGUCUGACACUCCCACCUGCUCCACCGUGCCCACCACCUGCAACAAGAACAAACACAACAGCAAAGAAAACAUGCGAAUGAUGGGGGAAGUAAUAAACAAAAGGAACAAAACAAAUAUAUUGGCUUUAAAAGCCGAAAUCUAUCAUUGGAACGGGGACGAUUUUUGAUAUUUCAAAGGAGGGGAAAACAGAUUGUAUUUUGGAUGAGGGAUUUGAGGGGAAACAGAUUGUAUUUUGAAAUGGGGGGAUCGAUUGUAUUUUAGGGAAACCGGUUGUAAAUAGGGGGGAUUAGAGAGGAAAAACCGAUUGUAAAACGGGAGAGGUUACAUAGAGAGAAUACAAAAAAGGACUUGAAGGUGAUUUUCAGAUCGAUUUUUUCUUUUUUGAUUUUUUGGGUUCUCGUUUUCUUUCUUCUUGAUCUUUACUUGCUGCACAUUUAUAACAAAAAGGGAGAGCAUUACAAAGCAACAAAAAAUAGAAAAAGCAGUGAUUUCAAGGUUUUCGCACUUUUUUUUCUGUUCUUAUUCUUUUUUUACCGUAUUUUGAAUCUACUUGACAAAUCUAAAAGAGGAGUUUAUUUACCUUUUUUGUUGUCGAUUUAGUCGACGUUGGCUCCUCCGGCCUGAUGGUUGACAGAUCCUUGUGGUCUGGCUAAAACCGCGACGGUGGUGGAGGCGUAUUAUACGCCGGUGAAGCCUAAGAGUCGGCCAAGGUAAAGAAUAGGAGAAAAAUGGGGGCGGUUAGAUAUAAGUUUUAGUAAAAAUGACAGAGCUCAGUGGUUCUUUUUUGUGUUUUUUUAAUAUUGAAACGGUGGUGUUUAAGGGUGGGGGCCGCGUGUUGAUCCAUGCCCAGACCCAAUUUGUGCAUUUAUAUGUCAAAUGGGAAAUUUCCACAAUUAAUCCCUCAUUUUUGCAUCACAUUCCAGCAGACCCCAUUAGCAUCCAUGUGUUUUAUUUUAAUUUUUCCCCAAAAAUUUGUACACCAUUCCAUUUUAGUCCACUCCAAGGUGCAGCGUUUUGG